AGAGUUUGAUCAUGGCUCAGGACGAACGCUGGCGGCGUGCUUAACACAUGCAAGUCGAACGGAAAGGCCCUUCGGGGUACUCGAGUGGCGAACGGGUGAGUAACACGUGGGUGAUCUGCCCUGCACUUUGGGAUAAGCCUGGGAAACUGGGUCUAAUACCGAAUAGGACCACGCGCUUCAUGGUGUGUGGUGGAAAGCUUUUGCGGUGUGGGAUGGGCCCGCGGCCUAUCAGCUUGUUGGUGGGGUAAUGGCCUACCAAGGCGACGACGGGUAGCCGGCCUGAGAGGGUGACCGGCCACACUGGGACUGAGAUACGGCCCAGACUCCUACGGGAGGCAGCAGUGGGGAAUAUUGCACAAUGGGCGCAAGCCUGAUGCAGCGACGCCGCGUGAGGGAUGACGGCCUUCGGGUUGUAAACCUCUUUCAAUAGGGACGAAGCGCAAGUGACGGUACCUAUAGAAGAAGCACCGGCCAACUACGUGCCAGCAGCCGCGGUAAUACGUAGGGUGCGAGCGUUGUCCGGAAUUACUGGGCGUAAAGAGCUCGUAGGUGGUUUGUCGCGUUGUUCGUGAAAACUCACAGCUUAACUGUGGGCGUGCGGGCGAUACGGGCAGACUAGAGUACUGCAGGGGAGACUGGAAUUCCUGGUGUAGCGGUGGAAUGCGCAGAUAUCAGGAGGAACACCGGUGGCGAAGGCGGGUCUCUGGGCAGUAACUGACGCUGAGGAGCGAAAGCGUGGGGAGCGAACAGGAUUAGAUACCCUGGUAGUCC
RNAcentral lists this ribosomal RNA (771 nucleotides) under uncultured bacterium. Its description in RNAcentral is "bacterial SSU rRNA". It matches the Rfam family "Bacterial small subunit ribosomal RNA", at positions 8 to 796 of the family's 1533-position model. The record is from RNAcentral.